GACGAACCGUGCGAACGUUGUUCGGAAUCACUGGGCUUAAAGGGCGCGUAGGCGGGCGGGCAAGUCGGAGGUGAAAGCCCCCAGCUCAACUGGGGAAGUGCCCUCGAUACUGCCGGCCUGGAGGGAGGUAGGGGCGUGCGGAACUUCCGGUGGAGCGGUGAAAUGCGUAGAUAUCAUCUGGAACGCCAAUGGUGAAAACAGGUAGCUGGGAGUGUGCUGACGCUGAGACACGAAAGCCAGGGGAGCGAACGGG
RNAcentral lists this ribosomal RNA (253 nucleotides) under uncultured bacterium. RNAcentral's name for it is "partial 16S ribosomal RNA". It matches the Rfam family "Bacterial small subunit ribosomal RNA", at positions 524 to 776 of the family's 1533-position model. The record is from RNAcentral.